This 253-nucleotide ribosomal RNA is filed under the name uncultured bacterium. RNAcentral describes it as "partial 16S ribosomal RNA". It matches the Rfam family "Bacterial small subunit ribosomal RNA", at positions 524 to 776 of the family's 1533-position model. The record is from RNAcentral.
UACGUAGGUGGCAAGCGUUGUCCGGAUUUAUUGGGUUUAAAGGGUGCGUAGGCGGCCCUGUAAGUCAGUGCUGAAAUAUCCCAGCUUAACUGGGAGGGUGGCAUUGAUACUGCGGGGCUAGAGUACAGAUGAGGUAGGCGGAAUUGACGGUGUAGCGGUGAAAUGCUUAGAUAUCGUCAAGAACACCGAUAGCGAAGGCAGCUUACUAGGCUGUAACUGACGCUGAGGCACGAAAGUGUGGGGAUCAAACAGG